ACGCUGGCGGUGCGCCUUAUGCAUGCAAGUCGAGCGAAGCUUUUCAGUAGUUUACUACAGAAAAUGACUGAGCGGCGAACGGGUGAGUAACGCGUGAGCAAUCUACCUUAGUUACUGGGAUAGCCCGAGGAAACUCGGAUUAAUACCGGAUAAUCUUAUUACAUCACAUGAUAUUUUAAGUAAAGGUCAGCCGAACUAAGAUGAGCUCGCGUUCUAUCAGCUUGUUGGUGGGGUAAAAGCCUACCAAGGCUACGACGGAUAGCUGGUCUGAGAGGACGAUCAGCCACACUGGGACUGAGACACGGCCCAGACUCCUACGGGAGGCUGCAGCAGGGAAUAUUGCGCAAUGAGCGAAAGCUUGACGCAGCGACACCGCGUGUGGGAUGACGGUUCUAGGAUUGUAAACCACUUUCAGGAGGGAAGAAAAUGACGGUACCUCCACAAGAAGCCCCGGCCAACUACGUGCCAGCAGCCGCGGUAAUACGUAGGGGGCGAGCGUUGUCCGGAUUUAUUGGGCGUAAAGAGCUCGUAGGCGGUUCAACAAGUCGGUCGUGAAAGUUCAGGGCUUAACCCUGAAAUGUCGAUCGAUACUGUUGUGACUAGGAUAUGGUAGAGGUGAGUGGAAUUCCGAGUGUAGCGGUGAAAUGCGUAGAUAUUCGGAGGAACACCAAUAGCGAAGGCAGCUCACUGGACCACUAUCGACGCUGAGGAGCGAAAGCUAGGGGAGCAAACAGGAUUAGAUACCCUGGUAGUCCUAGCUGUAAACGAUGGAUACUAGAUGUAGGAAUUGGAUUGACGAUUUCUGUAUCGUAGCUAACGCGUUAAGUAU
RNAcentral lists this ribosomal RNA (829 nucleotides) under uncultured bacterium. Its description in RNAcentral is "bacterial SSU rRNA". It matches the Rfam family "Bacterial small subunit ribosomal RNA", at positions 33 to 867 of the family's 1533-position model. The record is from RNAcentral.